UAGGAAUAUGCCUUAAAGAGGGGGACAACUUGGGGAAACUCAAGCUAAUACCGCAUAAUCUCUUAGGAGUAAAGCUGGGGACCUUCGGGCCUGGCGCUUUAAGAAUAGCCUGCGUCCGAUUAGCUAGUUGGUAGGGUAAAGGCCUACCAAGGCGACGAUCGGUAGCUGGUCUGAGAGGAUGGCCAGCCACACUGGAACUGAGACACGGUCCAGACUCCUACGGGAGGCAG
RNAcentral lists this ribosomal RNA (230 nucleotides) under uncultured bacterium. Its description in RNAcentral is "partial 16S ribosomal RNA". It matches the Rfam family "Bacterial small subunit ribosomal RNA", at positions 118 to 351 of the family's 1533-position model. The record is from RNAcentral.